This 52-nucleotide transfer RNA is filed under the name Epitrimerus sabinae. RNAcentral's name for it is "tRNA-Arg". The record is from RNAcentral. Lineage: Eukaryota; Metazoa; Arthropoda; Arachnida; Trombidiformes; Eriophyidae.
AUUAGCUCAUCAACAAAUUUCGAACUUGUUACCUAAAAGCUUCAGGUCGAGC